This 835-nucleotide unclassified non-coding RNA is filed under the name Hevea brasiliensis (rubber tree). The record is from RNAcentral. Lineage: Eukaryota; Viridiplantae; Streptophyta; Magnoliopsida; Malpighiales; Euphorbiaceae.
GAAGAGAAGAGAAACUUCCUUCUCUGUUCUCUACUUACUACUGGUUCAGCGAGAAAAAGCAUCAUAAUAGUAUCGAGCAGAAAUGCAGAACGAAGCCGCCUCCACUACCGCUAAUGAUGAUGACCUUAACAUUGCUACCAAAUCUGCAGAAUCUCUUCCAAACGAAGUCGAUUUCACCUCCAUGUUAUGUCCCAAGGCGUCCCACUCUCUCACGCCUUACGUGGACUCCCGCUUUGUGAUGCAGCAACAGGACCUGGUAAAUCGCAGCGCGCUUUGCCUUACGCGCCUUCGCGAGGCGGCCAGAGAAGUAGAUUCCCUACGCCUGGAGAACGCUGCUCUCCGGUCCGUCAACCAAGAGCUCAACAAUCACCUGAGCUUACUCCUCCAAGCCUCGGUCCAGAAACGCUGUCCCUCCUCUGAUCAGAACACCACUUCAUUCGAGAUCAUGAAUGGCUUCCGCAAUUUGUGCAACAUUAGCGAUUUUGGAGGAGAAGAACUGUGUGAAGACGAGAAUCCUAAGAGCGUGAUGGAGGUGCAGACCGCUGUCGCGAAGGAGAGGACAUCGUUGCCUAAGAUUAUUUCUGUGAGGUCCAAUGGAUACUUGAAGACGAGCCAGACUGGUGUGAGCAAGACUCGGAGCGUGACUCGGCCUAAAACCGCGAGUCCAAUCAAUGGAGCGUUAAAGGUUUACGUUCGUGGAGGGAAGGAGGAGGAGGAGGAGCCCCUUGAACUUGACGUCUACAACCAAGGAAUGUUCAAGACUGAACUGUGCAACAAGUGGCAGGAGACAGGUACUUGCCCAUAUGGUGAUCACUGCCAGUUUGCUCAUGGCAUC